AUUGAACGCUGGCGGCAUGCCUUACACAUGCAAGUCGAACGGCAGCACGGGAGCAAUCCUGGUGGCGAGUGGCGAACGGGUGAGUAAUAUAUCGGAACGUGCCCAGUCGUGGGGGAUAACGCAGCGAAAGCUGUGCUAAUACCGCAUACGAUCUACUGAUGAAAGCGGGGGAUCGCAAGACCUCGCGCGACUGGAGCGGCCGAUAUCAGAUUAGCUAGUUGGGGGGGUAAAGGCCUACAAAGGCGACGAUCUGUAGCUGGUCUGAGAGGACGACCAGCCACACUGGAACUGAGACACGGUCCAGACUCCUACGGGAGGCAGCAGUGGGGAAUUUUGGACAAUGGGCGCAAGCCUGAUCCAGCAAUGCCGCGUGCAGGAUGAAGGCCUUCGGGUUGUAAACUGCUUUUGUACGGAACGAAACGGUGAGCUCUAAUACAGUUUGCUAAUGACGGUACCGUAAGAAUAAGCACCGGCUAACUACGUGCCAGCCGCCGCCGUAA
RNAcentral lists this ribosomal RNA (500 nucleotides) under uncultured bacterium. RNAcentral's name for it is "partial 16S ribosomal RNA". It matches the Rfam family "Bacterial small subunit ribosomal RNA", at positions 30 to 523 of the family's 1533-position model. The record is from RNAcentral.